GUGGCUCAGUGGCAGAGUGCUUGCCUUGCAUGCAUGAGACCCUGGGUUCGAUUCCUCAGC
Molecule: transfer RNA, 60 nt
Filed under: Dipodomys ordii (Ord's kangaroo rat)
Lineage: Eukaryota; Metazoa; Chordata; Mammalia; Rodentia; Heteromyidae
Rfam family: tRNA
About the family: Transfer RNA (tRNA) molecules are approximately 80 nucleotides in length.
Source: Rfam by way of RNAcentral